CAUAGCUUUUCGUAAUUAGUGCUGCUGCAGCCUCCUUUUCCUUAACAAGUUUGUGCUGAGAGACAACACAUCGUAGGCCAACAUUCUUAGUUAAGUUUCUAAAAAACUCUGCGUACAAGUUGCCCAACAUUCUUAGUUAAGUUUCUUGGUUUCACUGCUCAUGAUAAACCAUGGUUCUGUUGGCAGGGAAUGAGAACUUAUGAUUACAUUUUAGCAAUGAGAGAGGAGAACCAGUCUAUGGAGCUUUUAGAGUCAUCAGAAGAUUCAGAUUCCUCCUCGGAUGAGAGUAUCGACUUUGAUUCACCUGAGAAGCCAUCACUUAUUUCACGACUUACAUGCAGGGAAAAAAGAAUGAAUCAGGUAUGGUAUACAUAUCUUGGAUGAGAGUAUCGACUUCGAUUCACCUGAGAAGCCAUCACUUAUUUCACGACUUACAUGCAGAGAAAAAAGAAUGAAUCAGGUAUGGUAUGCAUAUCUUUUGCCUUUUUUUGCAUUCCUAGACCAAUCAAAACUGGAUAUUUCUCUUUUGAU
RNAcentral lists this long non-coding RNA (531 nucleotides) under Nicotiana benthamiana. RNAcentral's name for it is "long non-coding RNA (NBEN_LNC028799)". The record is from RNAcentral. Lineage: Eukaryota; Viridiplantae; Streptophyta; Magnoliopsida; Solanales; Solanaceae.